This 488-nucleotide ribosomal RNA is filed under the name uncultured bacterium. RNAcentral describes it as "partial 16S ribosomal RNA". It matches the Rfam family "Bacterial small subunit ribosomal RNA", at positions 28 to 507 of the family's 1533-position model. The record is from RNAcentral.
GACGAACGCUGGCGGCGUGCUUAACACAUGCAAGUCGAACGCGCCUGUCCUCUGGGUUUCUGGGGGGUGGGUGAGUGGCGAACGGGUGAGUCACACGUGAGUAACCUGCCCCCUUCUUCGGGAUAACGGUCUGAAAGGGCUGCUAAUACCGGGUAUUCACUGGUCUCCGCAUGGGGUCUGGUGGAAAGGUUUUUUUCUGGUGGGGGAUGGGCUCGCGGCCUAUCAGCUUGUUGGUGGGGUGAUGGCCCACCAAGGCUUUGACGGGUAGCCGGCCUGAGAGGGUGACCGGGAACAUUGGGACUGAGAUACGGCCCAGACUCCUACGGGAGGCAGCAGUGGGGAAUAUUGCACAAUGGGCGCAAGCCUGAUGCAGCGACGCCGCGUGAGGGAUGGAGGCCUUCGGGUUGUGAACCUCUGUCGCCCGUGGUCAAGCCGCGACGUGGGUCGUGGUGAGGGUAGUGGGUAAAGAAGCGCCGGCUAACUACGUG